GGUUACUGCUAUCGGUGUUCGCUUAAGCCAUGCGAGUCAUAUGUUCUCCGGAACAUGACGUACUGCUCAGUAACACGUGGAUAACCUGCCCUUGGGUCCGGCAUAACCCCGGGAAACUGGGGAUAAUUCCGGAUAACGCACAUAUGCUGGAAUGCUUUAUGCGUCAAAUGGAUUCGUCCGCCCAAGGAUGGGUCUGCGGCCUAUCAGGUAGUAGUGGGUGUAAUGUACCUACUAGCCUACGACGGGUACGGGUUGUGAGAGCAAGAGCCCGGAGAUGGAUUCUGAGACAUGAAUCCAGGCCCUACGGGGCGCAGCAGGCGCGAAAACUUUACAAUGCGGGAAACCGUGAUAAGGGGACACCGAGUGCCAGCAUCAUAUGCUGGCUGUCCGGGCGUGUAAAAUACACCUGUUAGCAAGGGCCGGGCAAGACCGGUGCCAGCCGCCGCGGUAACACCGGCGGCCCGAGUGGUGAUCGUGAUUAUUGGGUCUAAAGGGUCCGUAGCCGGUUUGGUCAGUCCUCCGGGAAAUCUGACGGCUUAACCGUUAGGCUUUCGGGGGAUACUGCCAGACUUGGAACCGGGAGAGGUAAGAGGUACUACAGGGGUAGGAGUGAAAUCUUGUAAUCCCUGUGGGACCACCUGUGGCGAAGGCGUCUUACCAGAACGGGUUCGACGGUGAGGGACGAAAGCUGGGGGCACGAACCGGAUUAGAUACCCGGGUAGUCCCAGCCGUAAACGAUGCUCGCUAGGUGUCAGGCAUGGCGCGACCGUGUCUGGUGCCGCAGGGAAGCCGUGAAGCGAGCCACCUGGGAAGUACGGCCGCAAGGCUGAAACUUAA
This 837-nucleotide ribosomal RNA is filed under the name uncultured archaeon. RNAcentral describes it as "bacterial SSU rRNA". It matches the Rfam family "Archaeal small subunit ribosomal RNA", at positions 21 to 859 of the family's 1478-position model. The record is from RNAcentral.